CACGUAGGGCGCAAGCGUUGUCCGGAAUUAUUGGGCGUAAAGAGCUCGUAGGCGGUUUGUUGCGUCCGCUGUGAAAACUCGGGGCUUAACCCCGAGCCUGCAGUGGAUACGGGCAGACUAGAGGUAGGUAGGGGAGAAUGGAAUUCCCGGUGUAGCGGUGAAAUGCGCAGAUAUCGGGAGGAACACCGGUGGCGAAGGCGGUUCUCUGGGCCUUACCUGACGCUGAGGAGCGAAAGCGUGGGGAGCGAACAGG
Molecule: ribosomal RNA, 253 nt
Filed under: uncultured bacterium
Lineage: Bacteria
Description: partial 16S ribosomal RNA
Rfam family: Bacterial small subunit ribosomal RNA
Source: RNAcentral